UGCUUAACACAUGCAAGUCGAACGCAAGCUUUGCGUUGAGUGGCGGAUGGGUGAGUAACGCGUGAUAAUCUGCCUUGGGGUCGGGGAGCAACCACUGGAAAUUGGUGGCUAAUACCGUAUAACCCUAUGGGUAACAGAUUUAUUGCCCCAAGAUGAGCUCGCGUAUUGAUUAUCUAGUUGGUGAGGUAAAAGCUCACCAAGGCAGUGAUCAGUAGCUGGUCUGAGAGGACGAUCAGCCACACUGGGACUGAUACACGGCCCAGACUCCUAGCGGGAGGCAACCGUGAGGGAAUUUUCCGCAAUGGGCGAAAGCCUGACGGAGCAUGACCGCUGUGAUGGAGGAAGGCUCUUGGGUUGUAAACCUCUUGUCUCACGGAAGAAGCUCUGAUGGUACCUGAGGAAUCAGCCUCGACUAAAUCAGUGCCAGCAGCCGAGGUAAUACGGAGGAGGCAAGCGUUAUCCGGAAUUAUUGGGCGUAAAGCGUUCGCAGGUGGCGAUUCAGGUCUGCUGUCAAAGCACGGGGCUUAACUCCGUUCAGGCAGUGGAAACUGAAUAGCUAGAGUGCCGUAAGGGUAGAGGGAAUUCCCGGUGUAGCGGUGAAAUGCGUAGAGAUCGUGAAGACCAUCGGUGGCGAAAGCGCUCUACUGGACUGCUACUGACACUCAGGGACGAAAGCUACGGGAGCGAAUGGGAUUAGAUACCCCAGUAGUCCUAGCUGCAAACGAUGGAUACUAGGUGUAGCUUGUAU
Molecule: ribosomal RNA, 748 nt
Filed under: uncultured organism
Description: bacterial SSU rRNA
Rfam family: Bacterial small subunit ribosomal RNA
Source: RNAcentral